GCUGACGAGUGGCGGACGGGUGAGUAAUGUCUGGGAAACUGCCUGAUGGAGGGGGAUAACUACUGGAAACGGUAGCUAAUACCGCAUAACGUCGCAAGACCAAAGAGGGGGACCUUCGGGCCUCUUGCCAUCGGAUGUGCCCAGAUGGGAUUAGCUAGUAGGUGGGGUAACGGCUCACCUAGGCGACGAUCCCUAGCUGGUCUGAGAGGAUGACCAGCCACACUGGAACUGAGACACGGUCCAGACUCCUACGGGAGGCAGCAGUGGGGAAUAUUGCACAAUGGGCGCAAGCCUGAUGCAGCCAUGCCGCGUGUAUGAAGAAGGCCUUCGGGUUGUAAAGUACUUUCAGCGGGG
This 354-nucleotide ribosomal RNA is filed under the name Escherichia coli. RNAcentral's name for it is "bacterial SSU rRNA". It matches the Rfam family "Bacterial small subunit ribosomal RNA", at positions 87 to 444 of the family's 1533-position model. The record is from RNAcentral. Lineage: Bacteria; Pseudomonadati; Pseudomonadota; Gammaproteobacteria; Enterobacterales; Enterobacteriaceae.